Molecule: long non-coding RNA, 498 nt
Filed under: Homo sapiens (human)
Lineage: Eukaryota; Metazoa; Chordata; Mammalia; Primates; Hominidae
Description: HSALNT0339264
Source: RNAcentral
UAGAAGCUGGAUUUUACAAUUUUCCACUCAGAUCUACUUAAUCAGAUUAUCUCAAGGUUUCUGAAGAUCACAGAACUUAACUAAAACAACAUAUUUGUCAUAAGCAAUUAAGAUUUAAGCAUUACUCUAGACUACGGAAUUCUUUUUGGUGUAAAGCAGGUAAAAGCUCUGUCCUGAUUACACACUGACCCGCUUUGGGAUGUGGAAUGCAGGUAACUCAUCAUGAGUCAAGGAAGGAAGAAGAUUCUUUCAGAAAGUUUCAACUAUGACAGAUGAAGGCAGAAAAAAAAAUAUGGAAGGUCAACAUAUUCUUGUUUUGAAAGUACAUUUCCUGUUUUUAGCACAAUUAUCCCUUAGUAUGCUUCAUUUAUCAUAAAGAUGUAAUGUUAAAGGAUUAAUAACUAACAGUCUGGAAUCUUUGAGAAUCGGCAGCAAAUUGAUGACAUACUCAAUCCAGAAGAAUGUUAUGGUCUUAAGGCAUCCAGAUGUAGUUUCAAA